RNAcentral lists this ribosomal RNA (468 nucleotides) under uncultured bacterium. Its description in RNAcentral is "partial 16S ribosomal RNA". It matches the Rfam family "Bacterial small subunit ribosomal RNA", at positions 28 to 507 of the family's 1533-position model. The record is from RNAcentral.
GACGAACGCUGGCGGCGUGCUUAACACAUGCAAGUCGAACGGAAAGGCCCUGCUUUUGUGGGGUGCUCGAGUGGCAAACGGGAGAAUAACACGUGAGUAACCUGACAUUGACUGUGGGAUGACUUCAAGACACUGGAGCUAAUACCGGAUAAGAGCUCCUGCUGCUGGGUGGGGGUUGGAGAGUGUGGGCGGUUGGGGAUGGACGAGCGGCUUCUGAGGUGGUGGGUGGGGUAGGGGCUUACCAACGCUUUGACGGGUAGCCGGCCUGAGCGGGUGACCGGCAACAUUGGGACGGAGAUACGGCCGAGAAUACUACGGGAGGAAGCAGUGGGGAAUAAUGCACAAUGGGCGGAAGCAGGAUGCAGCAACGCCGCGGGCGGGAUGAAGGCCGUCGGGGUGUAAACCGCUUUCGCCUGUGACGAAGCGUGAGUGACGGUAAUGGGUAAAGAAGCACCGGCUAACUACGUG